Drosophila persimilis is the source of this 1136-nucleotide long non-coding RNA. RefSeq lists it as uncharacterized. The record is from RefSeq and is a predicted model, not a curated record. The transcript has 2 exons. Lineage: Eukaryota; Metazoa; Arthropoda; Insecta; Diptera; Drosophilidae.
AAAAAAAAGUAUUCACUAUUGCUGGCUAGCAUAUAUAAUCAUCAACGAAAAAAAUGGAAAAGUGUGGAAAACGUGUCGUAGAAGCGAAACAAAGGCCAUAUUCCAGCAUGGCAACAACGCCAACGUAGUCUUUCUCAAUGUCGGGCAAUAUUUGCUCAUAAGUUGAAACAAAGAAAUACGCUGGAAAAGUGUAUGAGUCAUCGAUUUCACCGUCAGCUUCGGGGCAUUUCACAAUGCGGAAGCAACUGGAAAGGCGCAGUUUCUCGUUUUUGGCUAGAAAGUAACUCCCUAGGCAGGAUGAGGCUAUCCAGGAGGUUCAGGAAACUCUCGAAACAGACUCAGUCGGGUGCAAUGGCGGCAGCCCAGACCUGCAGUGUACGUGGAAUUGAUAAUUUGGGAUAGGAAGCCAGUUGGGCGUUGAAAGUUGAUACGCAAACGCGUAGGCGAUCGAUCCAAGUAAAACUCUGAACUCUGUACCCUUCGCGAGCAAUAGGCAGAAGAAGUGCUGAAAAUGCACUUCGGCCCAUGUACGCGUUUGGCGUACGCGAAAGUUGUGGCUGCGACCCUGACUCAGCCUUAGUGUUGAUUGUCGGGGUCGCGGACUGACCAGGGUGCGUCGUUUCUAUCAGAUUGAUUGUGCGGAUUGUGUUAUAGGAACUCCGGUGUAUCGACUUCUCUGCUCUACUAAGGGUGAACCCUACAAUGGGCCUUCUGUUGCUUACCUACCAUCGAACGAAUACCAAUACAUACCGGGCAGAUAUACGUAUAACUCUGUUCUGACAUCGAUCGAUUGAAACUGUUCACACGUCGUCUUUGGAGUAGCAAUUUAACCAACAAGUCCAAAACAAUGGCUGUUGCUUGCAAACAAUCUUUUCUGUGGCUAUACAUUUUGUGGUGAACUCUAAGCGGAAACAGUUCCACACCAACAAUGUGUUAAGUUCUUAAAUAUUUGAAAUUGUUUAAACUGUUUUUGUUUUUGUACACUCUACGACUUUAUAAUUACUUGUACCGAUGUAAAAUUACUUGUCGAAACAAAACAAAAAAUAAGAAAAUGGAAAAAAUGCUUAACAAAAGAGCUCAUCUAUCGAAAAGAAGCAACAAAAAAGUGAAUAAAAUUCAAUAAUUCCAAAAAUAAA